UACAUGGGGUGCAAACGUUGCUCGGAAUUAUUGGGCGUAAAGCGCACGUAGGUGGUCUGUUAUGUCAGAUGUGAAAGCCCUCGGCUUAACUGAGGAAGUGCACCUGAAACUGGCAGGCUUGAGUACGAAAGAGGGUCGCGGAAUUCCCGGUGUAGAGGUGAAAUUCGUAGAUAUCGGGAGGAACACCGGUGGCGAAGGCGGCCCUCUGGACGGAUACUGACGCUGAGACGCGAAAGCGUGGGGAGCAAACAGG
RNAcentral lists this ribosomal RNA (253 nucleotides) under uncultured bacterium. Its description in RNAcentral is "partial 16S ribosomal RNA". It matches the Rfam family "Bacterial small subunit ribosomal RNA", at positions 524 to 776 of the family's 1533-position model. The record is from RNAcentral.